CCGCAGUGUUAUGCAGAAGUACCUUGAGGAAAGGGGUGAAUUAACCUUUGACAAGAUCUUUCAUCAGAAAAUCGGAUUUUUGCUGUUUAAAGACUAUUGCCUGAACGAGAUUGAUGAAGCCGUCCCUCAGCUGAAGUUUUAUGAAGAGAUAAAAGAAUACGAGAAGCUGAACUCUGAGGACGAGCGUCUGACCCGAAGUCGGCAGAUUUACGACAUGUACAUAAUGAAGGAGCUCCUGUCCUGUUCGCACCCUUUCUCAAAACAAGCUGUGGAUCACGUCCAAACACAUCUAGCCAAGAAGCAAGUGCCAGCCAGCCUUUUUCAGCCAUAUAUAGAAGAAAUUUGUGAUAGUCUCCGAGGCAAAAUAUUUCAAAAAUUUAUGGAAAGUGACAAGUUUACUAGAUUUUGCCAAUGGAAAAACGUAGAACUAAAUAUUCACCUGACCAUGAAUGACUUUAGUGUACAUAGAAUAAUAGGAAGAGGGGGAUUUGGUGAAGUGUACGGUUGCAGAAAAGCAGACACUGGAAAAAUGUAUGCAAUGAAAUGUUUAGAUAAGAAGAGAAUCAAGAUGAAGCAAGGAGAAACGUUAGCCUUAAAUGAAAGAAUUAUGCUGUCUCUUGUCAGUACGGGAGACUGUCCUUUCAUAGUCUGCAUGACCUACGCCUUCCACACCCCGGACAAGCUCUGCUUCAUUCUGGACCUGAUGAAUGGAGGAGAUCUGCACUACCACCUCUCCCAACACGGCGUGUUUUCGGAAAAAGAAAUGAGGUUUUAUGCUACUGAAAUCAUCCUGGGUUUAGAACACAUGCACAACCGCUUUGUAGUAUACCGAGACCUAAAGCCGGCAAAUAUCUUGUUGGAUGAGCACGGGCACGUGAGGAUAUCUGACCUCGGGCUGGCUUGUGAUUUCUCCAAAAAGAAGCCACACGCUAGUGUAGGUACCCAUGGAUACAUGGCUCCGGAGGUGCUCCAGAAGGGAACAGCGUACGAUAGCAGUGCGGACUGGUUCUCCUUAGGCUGCAUGCUUUUCAAACUUCUGAGAGGUCAUAGUCCUUUCAGACAGCACAAAACCAAAGACAAGCAUGAGAUUGACCGGAUGACGCUCACCGUGAAUGUGGAGCUACCAGAUUCGUUUUCUCCUGAACUGAAGUCCCUCUUGGAAGGGCUCCUGCAACGGGACGUUAGCAAGAGACUUGGAUGCCAAGGAAGAAGUGCACAAGAAGUAAAAGAACAUCCUUUCUUCAAGGGCAUCGAUUGGCAGCAAGUCUAUUUACAAAAGUAUCCUCCACCAUUGAUUCCUCCCCGGGGAGAAGUAAACGCAGCGGACGCAUUUGAUAUUGGGUCGUUUGAUGAAGAGGACACUAAAGGCAUUAAGUUGCUCGAUAGUGACCAGGAACUGUACAAGAACUUCCCCCUGGUGAUAUCGGAGCGUUGGCAGCAAGAAGUAGCAGAAACUGUUUACGAUGCAGUAAAUGCAGACACAGAUAAAAUUGAGGCCAGAAAAAGGGCUAAAAAUAAGCAGCUCGGCCACGAGGAAGACUAUGCGCUCGGGAAGGAUUGUAUUAUGCACGGGUACAUGCUGAAAUUGGGGAACCCGUUCCUGACUCAGUGGCAGCGGCGUUACUUUUACCUCUUCCCAAACCGACUGGAAUGGCGAGGAGAAGGAGAGUCACGGCAAAACCUACUGACAAUGGAACAAAUCGUAUCGGUGGAAGAAACGCAAAUUAAAGAUAAGAAAUGCAUCUUGCUGAGAAUUAAAGGAGGAAAACAGUUUGUCCUGCAGUGCGAGAGUGACCCAGAAUUUGUUCAGUGGAAAAAAGAGCUGACAGAAGCUUUCACUGAGGCACAGAGGUUGCUGCGUCGGGCCCCAAAGUUUCUCAAUAAAUCUCGCUCAGCAGUCGUAGAGCUUUCAAAACCACCGCUCAGCCACAGGAAUAGCAAUGGUCUGUAGGAGACACGGGGAGCAAAGCUCACGUAGGGGAAGCUACUUUGUGAACAUGUCGAGUUUCACAGAAUCCUUAUGAAUUACUUUGUGCAAUCCUGGAUGCGGGAUGUGCUUAGAAGAGGAAGAAAUUAGAUGUUUACAGCGUGGGAUGAUGUCGGAACUCUGUCUCUGGAGGUUGUGAAGCCUGGAACAAUGGCAAGUGAAUUCGUGCUCCUAGCAGCGGUGGAAAUGACCGAGCCUAGAGGCUGGAUGUUGCUCCCAUGCAUUCCCACACCCUGGCGGUGUCUAAACCGUGGUCCAUUGCUCUGCAACUGCUGACGGAAGGAAGAUGCUGGUUUCUCCGCAAUACCCUCGUUUGGUGCGUCCCGAGCCUGGAGACUUGAAACGGUCGCUGCUGGCUGGGAUCGCACGCCUGUGCGCGACACCGACCGACCCCUCGGCUGCGGAAGGAGCUGCAGACUUGCCCCGGUGGAUCACCUUUAAUCUGUCGUGUUGCCAUGUCCUUUCCGACCAUUACUGCUGACUUGAUGAUAACCUUUCUCCAUACUGCUGAUGAUCAACAGCGUGACUCUUAUGCACUUCAAAGUACUGAAUUCUAACUGUCCUGUGGUUUAAAUGUUAUUGCUACUUCAUGGAAACGUUGAACUCGAAUUACUCACUUAGUUUGUUGUACUCACUGGUAGUAGCUACCACCGUUUCGCUUCUUCUUACGUAUAUGCAGUCCUAUAACUGACACAAUAGAGUAAUAAUUGGUGAAGAGGAAUUUAUGGUAGCUUCAUCUAGUGCUCUGUUGUAUAAAUUGACUGUUUUAGCACAGUUUUUAAAGAGCAGAUUCCUUCUGACAAGUUUACAGCGAACAUAAAGACAGUUCUUUUCCAUUUCAGGUCAAGCGCACUUUUUAAAAAUUAAAGAGAAAUUACUCCAAUCCACUGCAUCCUAGUGCAUGUCCUGGGUUAAAUGCCUGGGUGCCUCGGUACGUAUCCUGGAGCACUCUGCUGUUACGGGGCUUGUGGAUCCUUCCCUGUUGCACACAAAGCCACGAAGCGAGCGUGGUCUCAUAGCGUAGGUGCCCCAGACUUUGCCCUGUAGCCCAGCUCAGGAGGUUCGUGCGCACAUCGCGUGGCUCGGCUUGCAAAAGGAGUUUUUAAUUUUCUUUUCUAGAGAGUUCGGACGGUCCGCGUUGAAAUCAGGCUGAGAAUGCUGAGGAUGGGACGGACAAAGUGAGCUGAUCAAAUGCCAGAUUUGUAUUAAUUCUGCUUGGGACAUAGGCCGUGUCAUGUGGAAACGCUUGCUAAAGUGAAGAUAUGAUCUCUUCACUGUUUAACUUCAGGCAUGCGAAGUCGGCCUUCUCCUGGCUAAGGCGAGGUUUUGUAAGAGAUGGGUCAGGGCUUAAUUUAAGCUUUUUUUCUGAUUCAGUAAACACCUUCGAGAACAUUUGCUGCCUAAUUACGGUGGUACAGCUCUCACCAUCCCUAAAGGCGGUGGGGGGCUGCGUCUUCGUAAAUGGGAGCAGAAGUUCCAGCCCCAGCCCGCUCUGCCCAGCGGGGGCGCGGGGCUCGUGUGCCUUGUGCCGCUAACAGAGGACCACCGAGUUCCAGGCCCAGGCCCUCGUAGAAAAGUACAAAUUGGCAAAACCAGGAGAAUUAAUUUGAAAGCAUUCGUUUAUCCUGAGCACGCUUGUCAGACAAUUGGAUGUACUCGCUUCUAGGAGCGGGAGCGGCUUUACUCUGCGUCGCACGCGCUUCCGCACGCGGGCGCGCUCUGUCUUACCCUGGGCUGCAGCAGGAGCGGAAAAAUGCGUUUUGGAAGAGUCAGGUGGUAUCUUUUUAAUGGGUUUUUUUUCCCCCGUUUAUUCCCGUUUAUUUUUCCCAUUUCCCAUUCUCACUGGUAAGUGGCGCCCAGCCUCUCGGCAUCUCCCUAGGGAGCAGCCGUGGUACUUGCUGAGGUGCGGCACGGGGGACGCCUCAUCCCGCUGGCGCUGACUGGGCACGGGCUGCUGCUAAGCGGUCCCUCUAAUAAGCGAUGCUCUGAUUUUUUUUUGUCUUGAUUUGGAAAAAAACC
Egretta garzetta (little egret) is the source of this 4006-nucleotide RNA transcript. It is a transcript of the gene named G protein-coupled receptor kinase 3, with no coding region annotated. NCBI's taxonomy places the organism in Eukaryota, Metazoa, Chordata, Aves, Pelecaniformes, Ardeidae. The transcript has 21 exons. The record is from RefSeq and is a predicted model, not a curated record.